UUUCACAAUGGGCGCAAGCCUGCAUGGAGCGACGCCGCGUGGGGGAUGAAUGGCUUCGGCCCGUAAACCCCUGUCAUUCGGGAUCAAUCCCUCUGACCUAAUACGUCCGAGGUUGAUAGUACCGGAAGAGGAAGGGACGGCUAACUCUGUGCCAGCAGCCGCGGUAAUACAGAGGUCCCAAGCGUUGUUCGGAUUCACUGGGCGUAAAGGGUGCGUAGGUGGUGAGGUAAGUUUGAUGUUAAAUCUCCGAGCUCAACUCGGAAAUGGCAUUGGAAACUACUUGGCUAGAGGAGUGGAGGGGGGACUGGUAUUUUCGGUGUAGCAGUGAAAUCGUAGAGAUCGAUAGGAACACCAGUUGCGAAGGCGAGUCCCUGGACACUUCCUGACGCUGAGGCACGAUAGCUAGGGGAGCAAACAGGAUUAGAUACCCUGGUAGUCCUAGCCGUAAACKGUGCGCAUUUUCUGUGGGCGGAAUCGACCCCGCCCGUUGCGCACUAAACGCGUUAUAUGCGCCGCCUGGGUGAGUACGGUCGCAAGAUUAAUACUCAAAGAUAUUUACGGGGGCCUGCACAAGCUGUGGAGUAUGUUGCUUAAUUCGAUGCACCGCGAGGAUCCUUCCCUGGCCUUGACAUGCGCGUGGUAGAAGCGUGGAAGCGUGCCGCCUCCGAAAGGAGAGAGCGCAAAAGGUGCUGCAUGGCUGUCGUCAGCUCGUGUCGUGAGAUGUUGGUUAAGUCCCGCACCGAGCGCAACCCCUGUGUCCUGUUGCCACCCGGCCGAGAGGCUGGAGCACUCUGGACAGACUGCCUCGCUUCACCGAGGAGGAAGGUAAGGUUGCCGUCAAGUCAGUAUGGCCCUUACGGCCAAGGCUGCACCCGUCCUACAUUGCCCGGUACAAAGGGAAACAAGGCCGUCAGGUGGAGCAAAUCCCCCAAAACAAGACCCAGUUCAGAUUGACGUCUGCAACUCGACGGCUUGAUGCUGGAAUCGCU
This 989-nucleotide ribosomal RNA is filed under the name uncultured Verrucomicrobiota bacterium. RNAcentral's name for it is "bacterial SSU rRNA". It matches the Rfam family "Bacterial small subunit ribosomal RNA", at positions 364 to 1336 of the family's 1533-position model. Lineage: Bacteria; Pseudomonadati; Verrucomicrobiota. The record is from RNAcentral.